RNAcentral lists this ribosomal RNA (253 nucleotides) under uncultured bacterium. RNAcentral's name for it is "partial 16S ribosomal RNA". It matches the Rfam family "Bacterial small subunit ribosomal RNA", at positions 524 to 776 of the family's 1533-position model. The record is from RNAcentral.
UACGAAGGGUGCAAACGUUGCUCGGAAUCAUUGGGCGUAAAGCGCACGUAGGCGGCCCGAUAAGUCGGAUGUGAAAUCCCACGGCUCAACCGUGGAACUGCCGGGCAUACUGGCGAUCUUGAGGCAUUCAGGGGCGAGCGGAACAAAUGGUGGAGCGGUGAAAUGCGUAGAUAUCAUUUGGAACGCCAAUGGUGAAAACAGCUCGCUGGGAAUGAUCUGACGCUGAGACGCGAAAGCCAGGGGAGCGAACGGG